This 471-nucleotide ribosomal RNA is filed under the name uncultured bacterium. RNAcentral's name for it is "partial 16S ribosomal RNA". It matches the Rfam family "Bacterial small subunit ribosomal RNA", at positions 28 to 507 of the family's 1533-position model. The record is from RNAcentral.
GACGAACGCUGGCGGCGUGCUUAACACAUGCAAGUCGAACGAUGAAGCCUAGCUUGCUAGGUGGAUUAGUGGCGAACGGGUGAGUAAUACGUGAGUGACCUACCUUUGACUCUGGGAUAAGCCUGGGAAACUGGGUCUAAUACCGGAUACGACCAAUCUCCGCAUGGGGUGUUGGUGGAAAGCGUUAUGGAGUGGUUUUAGAUGGGCUCACGGCCUAUCAGCUUGUUGGUGAGGUAAUGGCUUACCAAGGCGACGACGGGUGGCCGGCCUGAGAGGGUGACCGGCCACACUGGGACUGAGACACGGCCCAGAGUCCUACGGGAGGCAGCAGUGGGGAAUAUUGCACAAUGGGCGCAAGCCUGAUGCAGCGACGCCGCGUGAGGGAUGACGGCCUUCGGGUUGUAAACCUCUGUUAGCAUCGAAGAAGCGAAAGUGACGGUAGGUGCAGAGAAAGCGCCGGCUAACUACGUG